GAUGAAGAACGCAGUGAAACGCGAUAGUUAAUGUGAAUUGCAGAAUUCAGUGAAUCAUCGAGUCUUUGAACGCACAUUGCGCCCCCUGGUAUUCCGGGGGGCAUGCCUGUCCGAGCGUCAUUGCUGCCCUCAAGCACGGCUUGUGUGUUGGGCCUCCGUCCUCCUCCCGGGGGACGGGCCCGAAAGGCAGCGGCGGCACCGCGUCCGGUCCUCGAGCGUAUGGGGCUUCGUCACCCGCUCUUGUAGGCCCGGCCGGCGCUUGCCGACACAUCAAUCUUUUUUCCAGGUUGACCUCGGAUCAGGUAGGGAUACCCGCUGAACUUAAGCAUAUCAAUAAGCGGAGGA
Molecule: unclassified non-coding RNA, 345 nt
Filed under: soil metagenome
Description: partial contains 5.8S ribosomal RNA, internal transcribed spacer 2, and large subunit ribosomal RNA
Rfam family: 5.8S ribosomal RNA (bases 1-120)
Source: RNAcentral